This 524-nucleotide ribosomal RNA is filed under the name uncultured bacterium. RNAcentral describes it as "partial 16S ribosomal RNA". It matches the Rfam family "Bacterial small subunit ribosomal RNA", at positions 28 to 523 of the family's 1533-position model. The record is from RNAcentral.
GACGAACGCUGGCGGCGUGCCUAAUACAUGCAAGUCGAGCGCAGGAAAUCGACGGAACCCUUCGGGGGGAAGUCGACGGAAUGAGCGGCGGACGGGUGAGUAACACGUAAAGAACCUGCCCUCAGGUCUGGGAUAACCACGAGAAAUCGGGGCUAAUACCGGAUGGGUCAUCGGACCGCAUGGUCCGAGGAUGAAAGGCGCUUCGGCGUCGCCUGGGGAUGGCUUUGCGGUGCAUUAGCUAGUUGGUGGGGUAAUGGCCCACCAAGGCGACGAUGAAUAGCCGACCUGAGAGGGGGAUCGGCCACACUGGGACUGAGACACGGCCCAGACUCCUACGGGAGGCAGCAGUAGGGAAUCUUCCACAAUGGACGAAAGUCUGAUGGAGCAACGCCGCGUGAACGAUGAAGGCCUUCGGGUCGUAAAGUUCUGUUGUAAGGGAAGAACAAGUGCCGCAGGCAAUGGCGGCACCUUGACGGUACCUUGCGAGAAAGCCACGGCUAACUACGUGCCAGCCGCCGCGGUAA